UCCGUAGGUGGAUAAUUAAGUCAGAGGUGAAAUCCUGCAGCUCAACUGUAGAAUUGCCUUUGAUACUGGUUAUCUUGAGUCAUUAUGAAGUGGUUAGAAUGUGUAGUGUAGCGGUGAAAUGCAUAGAUAUUACACAGAAUACCGAUUGCGAAGGCAGAUCACUAAUAAUGUACUGACACUGCUGGACGAAAGCGUGGGAAGCGAACAGGAUUAGAUACCCUGGUAGUCC
RNAcentral lists this ribosomal RNA (229 nucleotides) under uncultured bacterium. Its description in RNAcentral is "partial 16S ribosomal RNA". It matches the Rfam family "Bacterial small subunit ribosomal RNA", at positions 568 to 796 of the family's 1533-position model. The record is from RNAcentral.